UACGUAGGGGGCUAGCGUUGUCCGGAAUCAUUGGGCGUAAAGCGCGUGUAGGCGGCCCGAUAAGUCCGCUGUGAAAGUCCAGGGCUCAACCCUGGGAUGCCGGUGGAUACUGUCGGGCCUGAGUCCGGAAGAGGCGAGUGGAAUUCCUGGUGUAGCGGUGAAAUGCGUAGAUAUCUGGAGGAACACCGGUGGCGAAGGCGGCAUUCUGGACCGAUAUUGACGCUGAGGAGCGAAAGCCAGGGGAGCAAACGGG
Molecule: ribosomal RNA, 253 nt
Filed under: uncultured bacterium
Lineage: Bacteria
Description: partial 16S ribosomal RNA
Rfam family: Bacterial small subunit ribosomal RNA
Source: RNAcentral